AGUGAACGCUGGCGGUAGGCCUAACACAUGCAAGUCGAACGGCAGCACAGUAAGAGCUUGCUCUUACGGGUGGCGAGUGGCGGAAGGGUGAGGAAUACAUCGGAAUCUACUGGUUCGUGGGUGAUAACGUAGGGAAAGUUACUCUAAUACCGGAUACGACCUACGGAGGGAAGCAGGGGAUCUUCGGACUUUUUGCGAUUGAAUGAGCCGAAGUCGGAUUAGCUAGUUGGCGGGGUAAGUGCCCACCAAGGCGACGAUCCGUACGUGGUCUGAGAGGAUGAUCAGCCACACUGGAACUGAGACACGGUACCGACUCCUACGGGAGGCAGCAGUGGGGAAUAUUGGACAAUGGGCGAAAGCCUGAUCCAGCCAUACCGCGUGAGUGAAGAAGGCCUUAGGGUUGUAAAGCCCUUUUGUUGGGAAAGAAAAGCAGCAGUUUAAUACCCCGCUGUUCUGACGGUACCCAAAGAAUAAGCACCGGCUAACUUCGUG
RNAcentral lists this ribosomal RNA (492 nucleotides) under uncultured bacterium. RNAcentral's name for it is "partial 16S ribosomal RNA". It matches the Rfam family "Bacterial small subunit ribosomal RNA", at positions 29 to 507 of the family's 1533-position model. The record is from RNAcentral.